UGAUGAUAAUGAUGAUGAUGAUAAUGAUGAUGAUGAUAAUAAUAAUAAUAAUAACAGUAAUGCAUUAUUAAUAUUAUCAUUAUUAAAUAUGUUCACUAAUUUCAAUGAGAACAAAUAUUUAUCAUCAUGUUCAAAGUGAUUGUGUUGGCCAGCACCCCCACCACCUCAUUUACCCAGUGACCUCAGAUCUUGAUGUUGCAGGUGGCGUAGGAUCACUCCUGAGCUGGGUCUUUGUGUUGGCAAAGACAGUUCAGUCUUCACUAGGUGAAUUGCCACACUCUUGAAUCUUCUGAAUUUUCCACCAUCUGGCUUCAACCACAGAGUCAUUCAAACUAAAUUUAUCUGUGCUGUAUACCUCUCAUCUAACUUCUCUGACUAUAAGAAAUUCUUUGACUAACUUCCAAAGUGGAGCACAUUCUGACUCUCUUCCCUUUUGCAGAGAUCUCCAUUCUUGGAGACUUCAAUGUUCACCACCAGCUUUGGCUUUCCUCUCCUUUCACUGACCAUCCUGGUGAACUAGCCUUCAACUUUACCAUUCUCCACGACCUAGAGCAACAUCCUACUUGUAUUCCUGACUGUCUUGGAGAUAUGCCCAACAUUCUUGACCUUUUCCUGACUUCUAAUCCAUCUGCUUAUGCUGUUACCCUAUCUUUUCUGUUGGGCUCCUCUGAUCACAAUCUCACUUCUGUAUCUCAUCCUAUUGCUCCAAUCCCUCCUCAGGAUCCCCCUAAGCAGAGGUGCCUCUGACAUUUUGCUUCUGCUAGUUAGGGGGCCUGAGGAGGUGUUUUGAUGAUUUUCCUUGGAAUGACUACUGCUUCCAUGUCACAGACUGUCUCUGUGUGCUGAGUACAUAACAGAGGUGAUAGUAUCUGGCAUGAAAGCGUACAUUCCUCUCUCUUUUUCUCGACCUAAACCUUCCAAACCUUGGUUUAACACAGCCUGUUCUUGUGCUAUACAUGAUAGAGAGAUGGGUAACAAAAGGUACUUGAGCCUUCCAUCACCAGAAUCUCAUGCACUUUAUAUUUCUGCCUGGAACCAUGCAAAGUCUUUUCUCCAACAAGCCAAAAACUCCUUCGUAAAUAGAAAGUGUCAAAAUUUUUCAAGAUCUAACUCCCCUCAUGACUUCUGGCACCUAACCAAACACAUCUCCUAUAACUUUGUUUCUUCAUCUUUCUCUCUUUUAUUUCAACCAGAUGGCACCACUCUGAUCUCAUCUAUUUCUAAAGCUGAACUAUUUCCUCAAACCUUUGCUAAAAACUCUACCUUGAAUGAUUCAGUGCCUGUUCCUCCCUCUCCUCCACCUUCUGACUACUUUGUGUUACCUAUUAAAAUUCUUCACAACGAUGUUUUCCAUGCCUUCACUGGCCUAAACCCUCAGAAGGCUUAUGGACCUGAUGGGGUCCCUCCUAUUGUUCUCUGAAACCGUGCCUCCGUGCUUGCACCUUGACUAGUCAAACUCUUUCAACUCCAUCUGUCAACAUCUACCUCUCCUUCUUGCUGGAAGUUUGCCUACAUUCAGCAUGUUCCUAAAAAGGGUGACCGUUCUAAUCCCUCAAACUACCAUCCUAUUGCUUUAAUUUCCUGCCUAUCUAAAAUUUUUUAAUCUUUCCUCAACAGGAAGAUUCUUAAACAUCUUUCACUUCACAACUUUCUAUCUGAUCGCCAGUAUUGGUUCUGUCAAGGCUGCUCUACUUCUUCUGGCUUUUCUUAUUGAGUCUUGGUCAUCUCUUUUAGAGAUUUUAGAGAAACUUUUGCUGUUGCCUUAGACAUAUCAAAAGCUUUUGAUAGAGUCUGACACAAAGCUUUGAUUUCCAAACUGCCCUCCUACGGCUUCUAUCCUUUUCUCAGCAACUUCAUCUUAAGUUUCCUUCCUGACCGUUCUGUUGCUGCUGAUGGUCACUGUUCUUCUAAAUCUAUUAACAGUGGUGUUCCUCAGGGUUCUGUCCUAUCACAUAUUCUCUUCCUAUUAUUCAUCAAUGAUCUUCUAAACCAAACUUCUCGUCCUAUCCACUCGUAUGAUGAUGAUACCACCCUGCACUUUUACACGUCUUUUCAUAGAUGUCCAACCCUUCAGGAAGUAAACAGGUCACAAAAGGAAACCACAGAACACCUGUCGUCUGAUUUCUCUGAAAUUUCUGAUUGUGACAGAGCAAACUUAGUAUUGUUCAAUGCCUCAAAAACUCAAUUCUUCCAUCUACCAACUCAACACAACCUUCCAGACAAAUAUCCCAUCUUCGUCAAUGGCACAUAACUGUUCCCCUCUCCUACAUUGAACAUCCUCGGUCUGUCCUUUUCUUAUAAUCUAGACUGGAAUCUUCACAUCUCAUCCCUAGCUAAAACAGCCUCUAUGAAGUUAGGCGUUCUGAGACAUAGCCAGUUUUUCUCACCCUUCCAGCUGCUCUGUACAGAGGCCCUAUCCAUCCAUGUAUGGAUUAUGCCUUUCUAUGGAUUAUGCUCUUCUAGACAGGGUUGAAUCAAAAGCUUUUUGUCUCAUCAACUCCUCAAUAACUGACUGUCUUCAGCCUCUUACUCACUGCUGCAAUGUUGCAUCUCUUGCUAUCUUCUAUCACCAUUUUCAUGCUAACUGUUCUUCUCAUCUUGCUAGCUGCAUGCCUCCCCUCCUACUGCAGCCUUGCUGCACAAGACCUUCUUUUUCUCACUCCUACUCUGUCCACCUCUCUAAUGCAAGAGUUAACCAGUAAUCUUAUCAUUCAUCCCUGUCUCUGGUAAACUCUGGAACUCCCUACCUGCUUCUGUAUUUCCACCUUCCUGUGACUUGAACUCCUUCAAGAGGGAAGUUUCAACACACUUAUCCUUCAAUUUUUUAUCACCGCUUUGGACCCUGUUUGGGGACUUGCAUCUCGGUGGGUUUUUUUUUAAAUUGGGUUUUUGUUGCCAUUGGCCCGUGUCCCUCUUACAUGAAAAAAGUUCAACAAAGGACUGUUGUUAAGACACUGCACGUGAGGUGGCCCCCAGUUUGGAAGUAUUGUAAAUGAAUGUUGCGAUGAAAUAGAAUGGGUCUUUGAGACAACAACAAAUAAGAUGAAUGAUGAUAGUAAUAAUAAUGACAGUGAUACUAAUACUACUAAUAUUGAUAGUAAUAAUACUACCUAAUAAUUAUAGUGACAAUAAUAAUAACAAUGACAACAUAAUGUUAGUGCUCACUUUGUUCAUUAUCUAGCUUGUAGGAAUUUUGGGUCAGCAGUCUUCACUUACCUCAAGACUCACAGGUCAACCAAGUGUUCCACCAUGGAGGGCAUGUCACUCACACCAGUUCUUCAGAAUUGUUGUGCUUUAACACAGUCUGUGAUGUAGCGGCAAGAAGUGUGUUUGUUGUUCUCAAUACACAGCCUGCACUCACUGCUUUCACACAUCAGAGCUUGCUGUUGGCCCAAAUGAAAUUAUAGGGGCAUAGGAUGGGAUUAUCCCUUAAUGAAGCCAACAGGUUGAUAAUGUCAUAAUUAAUGUAGCCAAGGCCAGAGGCAGAGCCAGAGCCAGCCAUUCCAGUUCAUCAGCGUGGAGCAGAGCAGCCAGCCUGCCAACCUUCCACAACAGUGUCUGGGCACUAAGCAGAACUGAGUGUGGCCCUUCAGGUGGCCUGAUUCCUGUAUGAGUAACUUUUUUGUGGGGCCAGCCUGUUCAGGCCACUGGACAGGCCAGCCAGAGCAUGCAUGCUGGCCUCAAGGCUUAGUUUGGAGGGAGUCUAACGAAAAAAAAAAAAAACAACUUUGGAGUGGUAGAAUCGCGACACCUUGACCACAUAUGUAACACAAACUACUUUUGAUAAACAAGCAUAAUCCCUGACUCUCAUAGGACUCUGUGGGCUCUCUUCUCUCUCCUCCUCUUGCCUCCUUAAAACUUCAUUUCUUCUAUAAAUAAUGUCCACAAUGUCAAGUACAGGGUCAUCAGUGAGCUCUUAUGCUAAGAAGAGUGCUGUGGGCGGCCAUUUUUGCUGCUUCCUGCUGAUGGACUGCCCCAAACAAACGGGGGUGCAGGGUUAGAGAGAAACUUCCCGUAUAAUGCACCCCUGGUCACCCCUUGGUGACCUUGUGUGACCUGCCCUGUGACCUUGUGAGCAGCGACAGCACCACAGCCAUAACCUGUGUGGCACCAGCCCUGCCCCACAGUGAGGCGGAUGUGACAUGUGAUGUGGUGGUGAGCAGCCCGAAUGGUUUGUCUGCCAGUCUGCUGGGUGGCUUCACUUACCAACUGGCUCUCACACUCUCCCUCACUGGCCUGGAGCCCCAGCGAGGUGGCACUGCUGGCGGCACCUCCCUCACCCUCACUGGCACUGGCUUUGGGUUGAGCGGCAAUAAGGUGACCAUUGGUGGGUCAGAGUGCAAGGUGACCCAAGAGGGUCCGACCAGCAUCACCUGCAUCACUGAGGCUCACCAAGGGUCGGGUCAAUUCCAGGUCAAGGUCACUGCCCCUGGGAAAGGCUUGGCAGCAGCUCAGAACAAUAGUGGAAUCUUUUCCUACAUCGACCUCUGGAGUUCACCAUUCACUUGGGGCAGCGAACCGCCACCAUCACAGGGGCAGCUGGUGGUGGUGACUCAGGGCAAGACACUGCUGCUGGACCAGUCAACACCAGUGCUGAAGAUGUUGCUGAUCCAGGGCGGCCACAUGGUGUUUGAUGUGGAGAUUGUGGAGGAGCUGGUGUUGCGGGCAGAGUAUAUUUUGAUCGUUGGUGGUGGCUCUCUCAGUAUUGGGUCGGAGGAUCAGCCUUUCCCUGGUGAGGCCGUCAUUGAACUGCACAGCAACACACACUCCACUGAGCUGCCCUUGUAUGGUGCCAAGGUAUUGGCGGUGCGUGAUGGGACGCUGGACCUUCAUGGCCGUCACGUCCCCAUCACCUGGACCCACCUGGCACACACGGCCUCCCUUGGGGACACCAACCUCACCCUGUCCCUGCCCGUCACCUUGAGGCAGGGUGACCAGGUUGUUAUUGCCACCACAGAGAAUAGGUUCUACAUGAAGGAGAACGAGGUGAGGACCAUCGCAUCAGUCUCUGAGGACGGCCUGGAGGUCACACUGACAGAGGCACUGGAGCACACCCACCUCUCCGUCACCCAGACUCUUGGGGGACACACAGUGGAGACACGUGCAGAGGUGGGACUCCUCACCCACAAUGUCAAGAUCCAGGGAAAUGUUGGCACCGACUUCAGUGUGGCUAUUGAGGGCUGUGACACUGCUUUUAGGCCUGACCAGCACGCCACCCAGUCAUGUUUCAAUGGUCGACAUGGAGACGAGAUUGGCGGUGACCAAUUUGGCGCCACCGUGAUACUGUCUGGAAAGUUCCCUGACCUGGACUUGGUGAUGGGACGCAUUGAGUACGUGGAGGUGACCAAAGCUGGUCAGGCAUUCCAACUUGGGCGGUACCCACUCCACUUCCACCUGGCUGGGGACAUGGGUGGUUCGUACAUCCGCGGGUGCUCCAUCCACCACACCUACAACCGCGCAGUGACAAUGCACGCAACAAACAACCUGCUGGUGGAGCAUAAUGUGGCGUACAACAACAUGGGUCACGCUAUCUUCACAGAGGAUGGGGUGGAGCAGAACAAUGUGGUGCAGUACAACCUUGCAGUCUACACCAGGACCUCCUCUUCCCUUCUUAAUGUGGAUGUGACACGCUCCUCAUUCUGGGUGGUGAACCCAAACAACAUUUUCCGUCACAAUGCAGCUGCCAGUGGAACACACUUUGGUUACUGGUACAGGCUGGACCACCACCCCUCGGGCCCAUCCACCACCAACAUCUACUGCCAGAACACUGAACAGAUGGGACUCUUCUUCAAUAACACUGCACAUUCCAUGGGAAGGUAUGGUCUGUGGGUGUUCUCCAAUCCAGGAUAUCACCCAAAGUCCGACAUCUGUGGAGGCAGGGAUGUGGUGGCCAAGUGGGAAAGCUUCACCGCGUGGCACUGUGAGCGGGGUGCCGAGGCAGUAUCUGGCACUAAGCUGCAGUUCCACAACUUUGUGAUGCUUGAUAACCAACAGGCUGGCAUGGAGAUGGUGUCUGUGAAGGGAGGGUUCGGACAGGAUGACAGCCCUGGCAUCUUCAAUUCCCUGGUGGUGUGUCACUCGGCCCUCAACUCCAGUGCCUGCACCUCAGGAACCAGUGGUAUUGUGGCGCCCAAGACCCAGAUCUUUAGUAUCUCCAAUGUCACAUUUGUUAACUUUGAUGAGGGUGGAAGUGCUGCACUGUCUGGCUGUUCUCAGUGCAGGAACUACCAGGGAGGCUACAGGGCACAGGUUAAGGGUCUGGCCUUUGAGAAUUCACCCAACAAGAUCAGGUUUCAGUGGGAACACGAGACAAUCUGGAUAGACGCUGAUGGCUCUCUGACGGGCGAACCGGAGGCGAAUGUUGUUCCCACAAUGGGCAUCUUACCAACUGAUUCCUGCACUCAAGAAGCAGCAUUCUCUGUCACCAAGAAUGUGCCAGGAUCAGUUUGCCGAGGGGCCAUGAAAUUCCUGCGAGUGGCCGUCACCAAUCCGAGCCCUUCCUCACUGCUUGGCAAGGACCUGGUGGUAAGCAACGACUUCGGCGCCACCCACAUCCCUUACCUCAUGUUCCGUAUUGGUGGUGCUGGCUGGAUGGGGCUUGUCUACACUGGUGCCACCUUUGACUUCAACUUUGAAAAUGCUAAUCAGUUCGUCAACAUGUCAUACAAGACUAACACAAAAUUCAUGACAAGAAAUGACUACUAUUUUGUGAAACACACACUCACCCAGACACCUGACAGAAUUGAGACGACCAAGGGUGAGAGGGAGAGCCUGGAGUCCCUGCCUGACCUCACCACAAACAUUCAUGGGGACUUCUACUGGGACACAGACUCAAAGGAACUCACAUACAUGGUGUCGCACAGUAAAAAGACUACAAAAAGGCAUGGCAACAUGGUCUUUGAUGACCGAGUUCCUGGUCAAUCAAGGCAGAUCAGUUUCAGUGUGUAUAAGUGUCAGCACAAAGGAUGUUCUGCGCCUGACCCUAGACCAGUCCCCACAACACAUCCAGAUGCACCUUUCCGCUGGUCUGAUGUGGAGACGUGGAAGCAUAUGCCAGUCAGUACUGGUGGCCACCCAACAGAGGCAGAAUACAGCCUGCCCGUGGAGGGAGAUGAGAUUGUGAUUCCUGAGAGCAUGUGGCUCGUUGUGGACACGGCCACACUCAAGCUUGGCCGUGUCUUUGUGUAUGGCACCAUUGAGUUUGAUGACACGAUGGACCACAGAUUUGAGGCCACCAUUAUUUACAUCCAGGGAGGCUCUUUAGUGGCUGGCUACUCCUCAGACACUCCCUUCACCCACAGUCUCAUCAUUCGCCUGAUGGACCCUGAAGAUGUUGAUGCCUAUAGCAUGAACCUGGGCUGGAAAACUAUAGGUGUGUUUGGCUAUCUCAGGCUGCAUGGGCAGGUGUGCAGGAGAUCAUGGCACAAGCUUGGGGCCACAGUGGAGGUUGGGACCGGCCACAUAACUCUGGCCGAGGAUCCUGAUGCUUCCUGGCUCAAUAAAGAGGUGGGUGUGACAACAACAGGAAAAGAGGCAACAGAGAGCGAAGUGAGGCGAGUGGUAGCAAUCAAUGGUGCCACACUCACCCUAGACUCAGCACUCAAAUUCCAGCACCUUGGGGAGAUACACACGCUGUCAGACGGCACUUCCAUCACACUGGCUGGGGAGGUCGGUCUCCUGAGCCGGAACAUUGCGGUGGAAGGAAUCACGGAGAACAGCAACGGGGGAAGAAUUCUGGUCUCCACAGUCUUCCAGAAUGGCAAGCAUUAUGUUGGUUCGGCCCAAGUGGAUGGCGUGGAGUUCCGUAACAUGGGGCAGGAAGGCUUCACCGACAUCACUGACCCACGCUACUCCAUUGCCUUCCUGGGCCUUGAUGCCAUUGGUGACCAUUCUAGCUACGUCAAGAGGUCAUCAUUCAAUGUCAACUAUAAUGUGGCUGUUGGGCUCAUCAAGACCUUGAACAUGGUAGUGGAGGAGAACGUUAUCUAUCAUGAGCUGGAUUCAGGCAUAAGACACGAGACAGGCUCCAACACCUACAGGUGGAACCUCAUCACAACUGUGUUCUUCCUGGGGACUUAUGAAGACAGACAGGAAACAGAGAACUUGAAUUGGAGUGGUGCCUUUCAGCUGGACAAUGCACCCAACACUGUACUGACUGGCAAUGUUGUUGCUGGUGCAGAACAGGCUGGCUACAAGACCCUUGGAGAGCUGUGCGAGGACACAACUUGGUGGAUGGGGAAUGAAGUGCACAAUGCAAUUUAUGGAGUCAUGCUAUGGAAGAAGGGAGGCACGGGGCCACUGACAGACUGCUGCAGACUCAACAACUUCUACACCUGGAGAAUCUCAGACACAGGCUUCUAUGUCCAGCACUAUGCCAGCUCCCUCAUCACUAAUGUUGUCUCUGUGGACAGUCCCCUGGGAGCAAUGCAGAUCAUCUAUGAGCCAGAUUCACUGAGUCACAAGUUCCACCCCAAGACAGCCAAUGCCAGUCACUCCCUGUUUGUGGGUGUCUCCCCAUCACACACUUGUGAAUACCAGGCAUCCAAGUCCCGGAUAAUGAAGUUCUAUGGAGAUAAAUUUUUUGGCGGAGGCGUCGGCGGAGGAAACACUGGCAUCCUCUUAGCAUCAUUCACCUCUGGAUCUAAUAAGUUGUAGGGCUGGGCAGGAUUCUAUAAAACAGACAGAAUCCUGACGGAUCCCAGAUUGAGGCAGCUGACAAGUUUCCGAAUAAAGGCAUUGUCCGUGAUGCUUCCUGUGCUGUGGUUCCAUCGUGGCAGGCAUGGAAGUGCUUCUCGCUGCGUUGCCGCCUCAUGAUCAUUGAGAGCAUAGACACAGACACAGAGGUGCGGCGCCUCUCCCCCAUCGCCCUCAUUGCCAACCCUGGCCCCAGUGGGUACGUGGACCUCCUCCUUCUCUUCCUCCUAUACACGCCAUGGUUCAGACAUAUUUUUGUACAUGCGUUUAUCUUAUAUUAUUUUAUUUUACUUUAUUUUUUUGUUUAAUUUCUAUCCAGGCUCGUGUACUCGAUGCCUCAGCUCACGAGGUUCACAUUCACGCGCACGAGGCGGAGUGAGGUAGAGGUUCAUGAAGCUUCGAGUCAUUUUGUACUGGAAUGCGCCGUUAGUUUCAGUUAUGAGUCAUUAUUGCAGUAAUAUUGCACGUAGCUUCCUUCAUCUGAAUAUAUGCACAGUUUCUUCUCAUUCCUGUGGUGUUUUCAGAAUCGUUAUAUUCAUUCUUUCUUUCACUAAUUCUUUCAUUCAUUUGUUCUUUUUAUAUAUAUUUUUUUUCAAUAUUCUGUACGUUCAUAUAUUAUUUCAUUCUUUCUUUUGCUCGUUCGUUCGUUCAUUCAUUCAUUUAUUUAUUAUUUCGUUUGUUCAUUCACUGAUUCAUUCGUUGGCUUUCUUUUCAUUAUUUCUUACGUUCGUUCACUAUUUCAUUCUUUCGUUCGUUCGUUCAUGCAUUUAUUCUUUCAUUCAUUCACUGUGGCACAUUAAAAUCAGUAGAUCCUUUUGUUCGUUCGUUCAUUCAAUCUUUUCCUUUCUUUCAUAUAUUAUUUCAUUUACUCGUUUCUUUGCCGUAGUUUAUGUCAGCAUUAUAAUGAUGCAGUAAAGAAAGACUGGUAAAAAAAAAAAUAGAUUCUCGUAAUAAAAGAAUUUUCUCAAUUUAUGUGUUGAUGCCCCGCUACAUUAGAAAAUAAAACAAUAAAAAAAAGGAAAACAAAAGCUGGAGUGAAAGGAAAUUAGACA
Scylla paramamosain (green mud crab) is the source of this 9746-nucleotide RNA transcript. It is a transcript of the gene named fibrocystin-L-like, with no coding region annotated. The transcript is spliced from 31 exons. The record is from RefSeq and is a predicted model, not a curated record. NCBI's taxonomy places the organism in Eukaryota, Metazoa, Arthropoda, Malacostraca, Decapoda, Portunidae.